UACUGACCGAAAUUACUCCGCGGGGAGCUCACGACAUCAGUCAGCGCUGAACAUUGCACUCAAAGUCCGACUUCAGCGAAAUGGUCGACCCUGUGGUAACUCCUGAAUGGCUCUCAAGUCAAAUAAAAGCUGGCAACAAAGACCUGAGAGUUUUGGAUACAAGCAUAGGACCUUCUGGACCAUCAAUAGAUGAGUUUAAAAGUGAGCAUAUAGAAGGAGCCCAGCUUGUGAACAUAGUGAAGAAUGCUCCCCACACUCAGUAUCUUCCUGUUGGGUUACCAGAUCCCUCCGUAUUUCAAGAUUAUGUCAGAUCUCUCGGCAUUAACGCAUCAAGUCACGUGAUCCUGUACGAAAAUGUUCAGCUUAAUGGAAUGGCAGCAUCUCGGGGAUGGUGGCUGUUUAGAGUUCACGGUAUAACGAAUGUGUCUGUUUUAAACGGGGGACUGGUCAGAUGGAAGAAGGAAGGUUACCCAGUCACAGAUAAGGAGGUCAAGUAUGAGAACGGUGACGUAACGGUCAAGUUCAACAAAAGCCUGGUAAUGCUGUACGAUGACAUCAAACCCGGAGAUGGCCGACAGUUCGUGGACACUCGACACCCCGACAAUUUUGAUGGCAAAGAGAAAGAACCCUCAAAAUUUCAGACUUUCUGCAUGGAUUAUGUGGGACUGAAGUCAGAAGGUCUGACGUUUCAAACCGGGCACAUUCCCGGGGCCGUCAACAUCUUCUACUCGACACUGUACGAGGACGACACCAUCUCCCUCAAAGGGAAGGACCAACUUCUAGGAUUGUUUCAGUCAGUGGGGGUCAAGAUGGACCAACCUAUGACGACAACCUGUUACGUGGGUUUCACAGCCUGUACACUCGCCUUGGCUGCCUCUGUGUGUGGGAAGGAUGACGUCAGCGUCUACUAUGGUUCCUGGACGGAGUACGGACAAAAAGCUUCUUCCGCCGAAGUGGAGAGCAGCAAACUGUGAUCAAAACGUGCCCAGUGACUAUAAUCAUCCAACGUCUUUGGACCUGGAAAUCUGCUUCUGAUUUGUAGUGUUGCAAUCGAAGAAAAUCUGAUGAUGAGCUUCAUGUUUCAACUUAGACAGUUUCCUCUGAUUCUGACUGUUUAACAGUCGUCGUCUUCCCAAAGCAAGUGAGUCAACUAACGGCCAAAAUAGCUCCGAAUUUCGUAGCUCGAUUGUAGCGCCACGGGCGGCUGUUAUUGAUUAUGUCUCUUCUAUGUUUUCCAAUCAGAUUCGAACGUUUUUAUUUGACUAAUAGCAUGAAAAGUUUUGAAAGAGAGAGAGAGAGGAGGGGGGGUGGAGAGAGUCGUCAUGUUGUUUGUGAACUGUAUAUCGAUUUCUUUACCCGAUUUUUUGGUUCGACUAUUCAUUGUCAAGCCCCAAAAUACAUCCUCAAUUCCAAACUACAGUUCGGCAAACUGGACUUUAUGGCUCAAUUAUCUCCUUUGUCUCGGGAAAAUGAAGCGUUACAUUAUGAACAAAGCGUUGAUUUGAAGUCAGCAGUUCUGUAAUUACAUCCAUGACAUAUGUGUUUUUCUGUGCUUUAUACGUAAUUGGUUGUGACUCGUAAACAUUUACUUGUGGUAAAUUUAGAAUCAUACAGUUGACUCUUUCCUUGAUCAUGGAAAUGGUUUUGUCUCUUUAAUGUACAUCAAUGUCAGUUGACGCUAAAGCAUCAGUGUAUGAUAAUCAACUGUUGUUAGGCAUAGUGUGUCUGUGCAUAGACUCAUUGUGAUAGGAGUCCCAGACGAAAUGUGUUUGACGUUGUCAUGGUAAUUUUAUAAAACACAUUUCAAGUACAGACUCCGUUCCGUCGGGCUUUGUUCUUCACACGUGGUUUUGUGUAUGUUACUGAACUUCUGUUACUGAUAGUUCUGUCAAGGGAGACCAGUUAGGUGCUGAAAGCGACUUAUUGUUCGGACACACAUGCUCCUAUUUCCAACCAUGUUCUCUAAAUGCUGCUACAAUGGUCACACAGCAUCCCAGUCAAUACGUGGUAUGUAUUAGUAUCUCUGUUAGACGGUUGAUAGUGUAUUAAGCGAGUAUAUAUACUUCUAAUCGUUACAGUUGUCAUGGUGAUUUGAUGUUUAUGUUGAUGAAAAUAAAAUGAUAUGUAAUAAACCAUGCCCCGUACUAUGCAUGUAAAUUUACGUUUGUGGAUCGAUGCCCGGCAUAUAUUUCGUUUUGUACUUCUUGACUAUUAAAUUAGCAUCUGAUGGAA
RNAcentral lists this unclassified non-coding RNA (2232 nucleotides) under Haliotis rubra (blacklip abalone). RNAcentral describes it as "thiosulfate sulfurtransferase-like, transcript variant X1". Lineage: Eukaryota; Metazoa; Mollusca; Gastropoda; Lepetellida; Haliotidae. The record is from RNAcentral.